Molecule: ribosomal RNA, 468 nt
Filed under: uncultured bacterium
Lineage: Bacteria
Description: partial 16S ribosomal RNA
Rfam family: Bacterial small subunit ribosomal RNA
Source: RNAcentral
GACGAACGCUGGCGGCGUGCUUAACACAUGCAAGUCGAACGGAAAGGCCCUGCUUUUGUGGGGUGCUCGAGUGGCGAACGGGUGAGUAACACGUGAGUAACCUGCCCUUGACUUUGGGAUAACUUCAGGAAACUGGGGCUAAUACCGGAUAGGAGCUCCUGCUGCAUGGUGGGGGUUGGAAAGUUUCGGCGGUUGGGGAUGGACUCGCGGCUUAUCAGCUUGUUGGUGGGGUAGUGGCUUACCAAGGCUUUGACGGGUAGCCGGCCUGAGAGGGUGACCGGCCACAUUGGGACUGAGAGAGGGACCAGACUCCUACGGGAGGCAGCAGUGGGGAAUAUUGCACAAUGGGCGGAAGCCUGAUGCAGCAACGCCGCGUGCGGGAUGACGGCCUUCGGGUUGUAAACCGCUUUCGCCUGUGACGAAGCGUGAGUGACGGUAAUGGGUAAAGAAGCACCGGCUAACUACGUG